RNAcentral lists this transfer RNA (72 nucleotides) under Bos taurus (domestic cattle). It matches the Rfam family "tRNA". From Rfam's summary of the family: Transfer RNA (tRNA) molecules are approximately 80 nucleotides in length. Their secondary structure includes four short double-helical elements and three loops (D, anti-codon, and T loops). RNAcentral also lists the same sequence under 2 other names. Lineage: Eukaryota; Metazoa; Chordata; Mammalia; Artiodactyla; Bovidae. The record is from Rfam by way of RNAcentral.
UCCUUGAUGGCUCAUUUGGUAAAGAAUCUGCCUGCAGUGCAGAAGACCCCGGUUCAAUUCCUGGGUUGGGAA